GAAAUGUGAUAAGUAAUGUGAAUUGCAGAAUUCAGUGAAUCAUCGAAUCUUUGAACGCACAUUGCGCCCGCCAGUAUUCUGGCGGGCAUGCCUGUUCGAGCGUCAUUUCAACCAUCAAGCCCCGCGCUUGUGUUGGGGACCUGCGGCUGCCGCAGGCCCUGAAAACCAGUGGCGGGCUCGCUGUCACACCGGGCGUAGUAGAUUUUAUCUCGCUCAGGGCGUGCUGCGGGUUCCGGCCGUUAAAAAGCCUUUUUUACCCAAGGUUGACCUCGGAUCAGGUAGGAAGACCCGCUGAACUUAAGC
RNAcentral lists this unclassified non-coding RNA (303 nucleotides) under plant metagenome. Its description in RNAcentral is "partial contains 5.8S ribosomal RNA, internal transcribed spacer 2, and large subunit ribosomal RNA". The stretch from base 1 to 105 matches the Rfam family "5.8S ribosomal RNA", at positions 50 to 154 of the family's 154-position model. The record is from RNAcentral.